Molecule: ribosomal RNA, 199 nt
Filed under: uncultured bacterium
Lineage: Bacteria
Description: partial 16S ribosomal RNA
Rfam family: Bacterial small subunit ribosomal RNA
Source: RNAcentral
ACGCUCGACACCUACGGGAGGCAGCAGUGGGGAAUAUUGCACAAUGGGGGAAACCCUGAUGCAGCGACGCCGCGUGAGCGAAGAAGUAUCUCGGUAUGUAAAGCUCUAUCAGCAGGGAAGAAGAUGACGGUACCUGACUAAGAAGCACCGGCUAAAUACGUGCCAGCAGCCACGGUAAUNUGAGCGGGCGUGGCAAGGC